RNAcentral lists this ribosomal RNA (297 nucleotides) under uncultured bacterium. RNAcentral's name for it is "partial 16S ribosomal RNA". It matches the Rfam family "Bacterial small subunit ribosomal RNA", at positions 30 to 329 of the family's 1533-position model. The record is from RNAcentral.
AUUGAACGCUGGCGGAAUGCUUUACACAUGCAAGUCGAACGGCAGCACGGGGCAACCUGGUGGCGAGUGGCGAACGGGUGAGUAAUACAUCGGAACGUGCCCAAUCGUGGGGGAUAACGUAGCGAAAGUUACGCUAAUACCGCAUACGAUCUACGGAUGAAAGCGGGGGAUCGCAAGACCUCGCGCGAAUGGAGCGGCCGAUGUCAGAUUAGGUAGUUGGUGGGGUAAAGGCUCACCAAGCCGACGAUCUGUAGCUGGUCUGAGAGGACGACCAGCCACACUGGGACUGAGACACGG